Molecule: non-coding RNA, 7053 nt
Organism: Phalacrocorax carbo (great cormorant)
Lineage: Eukaryota; Metazoa; Chordata; Aves; Suliformes; Phalacrocoracidae
Source: RefSeq, a predicted model, not a curated record
ACCGCCCCAGACCCGCGGCGGUAGCUAUUGCAACACUCUCGUGUCGCUCUCGUUUUCUCUCUCCCCCCGUUCUCCCUUUUUUCUCUCUUUCUCUGCUUUUCUCUCGCGUCUCCGUCGCUGGCCAAAUGAAGGGACUUGGCACUUUGAUUCCGUUUUGAGUCUUAGUUCUGUUCCCGAGAAUGUAGAAGGAACCUGGCCACGGCAACACGUUGGAGUCAGUCAGAAGUUAAGCCCAGCCGCCCCCAACCUCCCAGAAUUACCUGAGGUCGGUUGGAAAGCAAGGGGGUUUAACCUCUGCCAAAUUGUUCAGCCCGACAGUGGAUCGUGACAGACUGGUAGGAGUCUGCAAUGGAGCGAAAUGGCCAACUGGGCUUUUCCUUUGUUCCAAAAGGGGGAUCCGCCAUGUGAAUCCGCACCGUCCACUUGCGGGGAGCGCUCGGGGUGGUGUUCAUAUCUGGCACCAUGCUAGAGGACUCAUGAAGAAGGAAGACUUAAAAAAAAAAACCAAACCAACCAAACAAACAAAAUCUUAAACAAAAAAAAUGCGGACUUUUUUUCCCUUACGAUUCAGGAUCCAUCUUUGUCUUGUGUAACUAGGUCAUGGCACACCCUAUGUCAGCAGUUAACAAUUUCGAAUGCCAAAAAAACCCACUGCCAGACAAAGAUCCGUAACUAUCUUGUCAAGAUCCGCUUUGACUUGCAAACUUACGAGAGAAGUGGUGAUCCAGAUCAUAUAUUUAUAGCCGUUAUUUAAAAAAAAAAACAAACGCGUUAACUUCACCUUCAGAGCUGCUUUCAACUAUGGUGCGCGGGUAAGUAAACCCUUUUGCCCUUGCAGAGAAACAUAUAGACCAGGCCUGUGCGGCUAAUGUUAUUGUCCUGGGCGGAAAAAUCCUAAUGGUCGUCUUUAGGAGCGGUGGCGAUCUCCUUCGCCUCAGAUACAUCUAACAGCGUCUCUAAAGCGUCUAUUUUUCAGGGAGGGAUUUCUUUUUCUGCACAAAGUGCUUGGUCGUCUGCAGCCCUGGGUUUUGUUUUUGGGUUUUUGGUUUUGGCUUUUUUUUUUUUUUUUUUUGCGGAGAGACGCCGUGAAUCCAUUGCAGGCGUUACGUGGCUGUUAAAUUUGAACGCACACACACAAAAAAAAAAUCUGCCUGCGAACAGUAAGAUGUUACUGAGGUUGAUUUUUUUAAAAGGCGAAAAGGCGUUGGUGGUGGUGGUAAGGAUCCCUUACAUGUUUUAUCCGUCUAAUUACUGAAGCUCGACAAAAAAAGCAACAAAAUGGGGGGGUGUUUUUCAAGACGGUGAGUCUUAAUGGCGGAUGUAUCACUAAAAAGCACUGUAAAAUCCUUCAUACCGAGAGGCAGUGACUUGGAGAGAGGGGGGAAAAAGGAGGUCUGGAAGUAAAUGCAAAAUGAGGGAGUUUCCUUCCAAGUGAGGGACCCUUUGCAGCCUGAGUUUUACAGUUGGAGAGCCGUGACGCAGUUGAUAUUCACAGCAGUUGUGCUUUAGUGCAGCCACCCAGCCCAUUAAAUGGCCUCCCCGCCGAAGUCUGGUGGUUUUAUUAUGUGAAAGCCUGCGGAAGCACCGUGUCCCGGGCGCCGGGAAGGGCGGCUGGCAGCGGGCAGGGCGCUCCCGGUCGCGCUCCAUGUUGUGUGAGAGUAGCCGCCAUCAUGGCUUCUCCUUCGGUGCCGCGUUCUCCUCAGGGCUGGGGCGGCGGCGAGGCGGGCUCUCCCCCACUGCCUGGCGGCGCUUCGCGUCCCGAUCACUGGAGGGAAAUGGCCUUUUUUUUUGUCUUCCCCCCCCCCCCCGCCCCAGUCUCCUUUUUCCCGCCCCCCCCUUCCCCCACCACUUUGUGAGGGGUUGUGGAAGGCGAAGCCGAGGAGGGAGCGGGGCGCCUGGCAGCUUUUUCUCCCCGCGGCUGCCGCGCACAACAUGGCCGCGCCGGGGAGCGCCCUGCAGCAGCGGGAGGCAGCGCUGCGGGCGGCGGGGUUGGCGCCGCUCCAGCCCGGCCGCGGGAGGGGGGGCGGGCGCCGGCCGGGCAGGGAGGACAAAGGCAGCUCGCAUUAAUGCAGGCGAAGCCCUGGGUGCCUAUAAAUAACGCCGCCCGCCCUCGCCUUCCUCCCUUCCCCCCGCCGCAGCUUCCCGCUCGCUGGCUUUUAUAAAUGCCAAAAGAUGAAAGUAUCCUAAUGCGGGGGGGGGGGGGGGAAGAGGAACAAAUAACAGCCUUCCCCCCCCCCCAAAAAAAAAAAAAAAAAAGAAAAACACCCAGGCAGUUGUGGAGGGGGGGAAGCCAAGCAAAUGAGCAGCCGGCGCUGGCCGCGGGAGGAGCAGGGCGGCGUCGCCAGCCUCCCCGCCUGGAGCGGGCUGCGCUGCGCCCCGCCAACGCGCCGGGGGGAGCGCGGCCGCCGCUCGUCACAUGGCUCUUUGUUGUUCUCCUUCUCCUGCCCCUCCUGGGCUUCCCCCCCCCACCUCCGCCAUCGCCCAGCCGCUCCGCCGGGGCAGCCGCUGCCCUGCCUCCUCCCGCCCGCAGCCGGGGUGGGAUGGCCCGGCCCGGCCGGCCUGCAGCGCCCAGCUCUCCGGGCCCGGGCUGGCGCGGAGCCGGCUGCCGUGCUGCAGUGCGAGCCGCCAUGGCCGUCUGAGGUGUUACAUGUGCCUUUUUUUUUUUUUUCUUUUAAUUUUUUUUUGUUCUUUCCCGAGCAGAUUUUCCUGCAGCUCGCUUUGGGUGGAGGCGUGGGGGUUAUUUCGGAGCUUCACAAGCCUCGCUGUGCUCUGCGGGGAGCUGCACCUUGUGCUCCACUGCAGACCCAAAUUAGGUGAGCUAGGAAAGCCUGGCUUGAGCAACCACUUCAGAGGGCAGGACAGGGAGGAAAAGCAAACACUUGUAGAGAGGUGGCCUCCCUGGUAAGGCUAGAGCAGGACCGUCCUGCGGACCCUGUGGGAGGGAGAAGGUAAGUGGCUACUUGGCAGAGGCUGCCUGCGGGAGCGGCAUGUGCCGGGCAGGGUGCGCCCUGCUCGCCAGUUCCUGCGGCUCAGGACCAGCCGCUCCGUGGGUUUGUAAAACCUGUGCUGUGGUAUGUGCCGAGGCUCAGGGGUGUUUUCCUGCGAGGGAGCAGGGUGCUGCCGCGAAGGAGGCACCGCAGCCUGCGCCUUUCGCAACGACGCGAGGGAUUACGCUCAUCUCUUCAUUUCUUGUUCCCCCCCCCCUUCCUCCCCCCCCCCCCGGGUCAGGCUCUGUCGAGAACAAGCGAGAAACCGUCCGCACAAAACAUAACACGUAUCCAUGGAAGGGAAAAUAAAAAAAAUGUCUGCGCACUGCCAGGCUGGCUUUAAAACGCUUCCUCUGCGCCCCUCUCUCGGGGCCGCGGCGCUCGGAGCCAUGGCUCGGACCGCCCGGUCCCUGCGAGACGCGCCUUCCCCGGCCAGACCAGCUCUGAGCGCCUGGCCCUUGCUCCUGCCAGCAGGGUAACUGCCUUCCUGGUUUACAAUUGCUUUAAAUAAUAAUCUGCUAAUAAACUUGGAAGAAACGGUGACGUUAUUCUUAGCUAAACACCAUUAAAAUGUGCUUCCACUAUUUCUCAAUAGAGGUGAAAAGCGUUUCAGCUUCCUGGAAAUGGCCGAAACAGGCGACGUGUAGAUCAAAGUACGGUGUAGAUCUGGGCUCGGUUUAUGCAGGGGUUUUUUGAACUGUAAUGAAAACGUUUCUGCAGCUUGCAUCAUAAUGAGUUAAGUCAGCACGUAAAGUGAUUUAGAAAAAGCAGAUUUAAACGGCGUCGGCUAUUAACUUUCCUGGGAUUUAAAAUUUCUGUUUAAAUACCUAUUUGGGUAUUAGUAAUAUCUGCAUUGAAACCUUAACGUUGGUCUGUUUAACCCUGAAGCAAACUAGGGUAUGCCUAACACAGGCUUUGAACAGAUUCAGCCAGACCAUAAUACUGUGGGAGCUUAGACAGCUUUGUCUGUACUUGCACCUCUCUGCGCAUUUUUCCAGGACUAUGAUCUUUGUCUGCAAUUAAUCAUUGUUCAGGACGGCCGUUGCCGAUGGUAGAAUCCAUGAACUGCUCCAGCUGGGAGAGGUCCUAAAGCGUGUGCCUGGCGCCGCGUACGUGCAGACCAGGGCCAGAAAUUGCUGGGGCAGCAGGCGUUGUACAGGGAGCCCGCUUUGCGGACCCAGUGAAUUGUGUGGGUCCUCAGCACUUCUGGAAAUUGUUUUUCUAAGUCUGAGCUGAAAAUUUAUUUCCGUUUUUUAAGAGUUUCUAAAUGACUAUAAUGUUCAAUGUAGUUUAAAAGUCAUCAAGGCAGUUGAGACCGGUUGCACUCCCGGAGUGGGUGGUUUCAUGGCUGAACCUCGUAUCUGAAAAGCUAAAUGUUCUGGUACGGCGUGUUUAAAUCCCAGAAAGGUCAAACCAGACUUUCAUACUUGAGUUAGAUUGACCCUGGUUUACUGCAUGAGACUCUCUGGAGGAAGAAAGAGAUCUUUCAGGGGAAAGGGGAGGGGAAAAAAAAAGUGUUUUUUUUUUCUCUCUGAACAGCUUGUGGUGACUCUCUGCACAUUCUUGAAGCAAAGGGGUUUGUUCUUGCCCACAGUGUCCCUCCCCUGCAUUGUGGAGUGGAAAACUCUUAUGCUAAUUAUGUCACUGUCUGUUAUCAAUAAGAAGUGAUUUAAUUUCUUUGGCCAAGUGUUGCAACAAGAGCAAAUUAGAUUGAGAGCCAAGUGAAAUGAAAAAUAUGCAGCUGUUCUGCCAAACAAUGAUCGUGACUGCUUACAACAUUUUGUUUUAGACUGGCUUGUACACAGAAUCCUUUAUAUUGAAGGUUUUCGUGUCACAAUCCACUGCUUGUGCAAGGAAACUAGAUUAAUAGAUUAUAAAGGACAAAAGAGACCUAGGUUCAUCUGGUUCAACUUCCUGCAUUAUGCAGGUCAUGAGAUUUUUGCGAAUUUGUUGCUUUUUCUCAUUUCAAAUAAUUUAACUACAGCAUUCCUGCAUCUUAGAAAAAUAUCAGAUUUUCAUUUUAAAAUGGGUUGUGAGAGAGAGUAAAAUAAGAGUUAGUAAACUGUUUCCAUCAAAAUCUACCUGACAGACUAGAAAUCAACAUACUUUUCUAAACUUGUCUAGUUUCUGCUUUCGGUUUCUGGAUGUUGCUGUAUCUCAGCCUGCUUGACGGAGGAACUCUCCAUUAUCAGAUUUCCGUCCCCGUGUAGCUGUGUACAGGCUGUUUAGCUGAGCAUUUAACACUCCCAUCGCAGACUUGCAGAGCUCCCCCUUGGGUCCAUCUUUGCUAAUCCUGUAAUAGUUCUGUUGCGGUUUCCUAUGAACACUCCAGUGUUUCACUAUUUCGGUCUAGGCAGAAGGGGACAGAGCGAUCAGCAGUGAUUGUACCCGUGCCAGCAGCCCCCCUGGCUGAGGUGUCUCUGUCAGGCAUCGAGGGAUUACACCAGCCGUGUUCAGCUGGUUUCCCAGCAUGGCUCCUAAAAUACUCUCAGACCUGCUCCUUCUUGGGAUGGCAUCCCUGUCCCAUUGGUUUGUGCUCUUUGUUCGGAAGGUACAGCUUCACACUUGGCCCUCUUGAAAAGGGCAAGUCCUUAGGCAGCAUUGCUGCUUGCAAUGGCUUUUUUUUUUUUUAAUACCCCUUCCUGCUACUGUUGAGUGUUGCCUACAAACUUGAUUGGUAAUGAUUAUUACCAAUUAUAUUUUCAUCCAGAGAAACAACUGCUUCUGUCUCCACUGUAGGAGUUUCCCGGUUCCGGGUGUGUGCACACCUCAGCUGUGUCAAUAUUGUGUCAGGAGGAGGUCUGAAUGUACACCGUCCUCUUGCCACACCCCAGUUUUGUGGGAAGAAAGCCCAGUUUAGGAGCUGGAAGGGAGCCAGGAGGCACGCUGCGGCAUUUCCCUGCCCUGGUGUCUAUAACAUAGCCAGUAAAUAUGUAGGGCCCAAAACAGGUAGUUGCAGGACCCAUAAAAGAAAGAUGACAGCUCUAGGACAUAGUGGUUACAACUGCAUUUUGAGACCUUCCUGCUAGAUGGAUUCUAAUCCAAUUGAUUAUGCCUUCUUGCUCUCAUAAUCCCGUAAAUGCUUCACAGGCGUUGAAGUAUGGCACAUGAGCCCUCUUGCAGAAAUCGUCUAUUAGUGCUAUUACCAUUUACCACUGAACCUUAAAAUUUCUUGGAAGUUUCUCUGUCAGCAGCUAAACUCAUGAAGCUUUGUCUCCCAUGGAUUUGUGUCUGUAAAUGCCCCCGACAAAUAUUCCAGCUCUUACCCAGUCUUGCUUGCCCUGUCUGGCUGAGCAAGCGGUAACAUGCUGACUGGGAGCUCCACAGGGGCCAAGCCAGCAGCAGUACUGCCCCUCGGUAUGGGCAAGGGCUGGAUUCUGCCUGCCUUUCCGCGACACUACGGUGGUGCCUAUACUACAUAUUCUAAUCAGCUGUUCAUUCAAGACCUAAAUACGUUUGGGACUUCUUCCCCACUGCCAAAUUUGAUUGAGAUUGGAGGAAGGAGAGGAAAAAUUACAUAGAACAACACAGUCACAUUAGGCUGGUUUAUUUUUAGGAAACCAGGCUAAGAAUAUCAAAGGAAUAUUGAGUGGGAAUAUGGACAGGGUAUUUGCGUGUUCAGUUUAUUUGCCAUUAAAUUUUUCAUUUCUUCCUAAGAACAGCAGAUGAUCUGUCUAGGGAAUUUCUCAGCCAAAAUAAGCAACCUCCUGAUGGAUUUCACCUGUGUCCCAGCAUGCUCUGAGGAUGCAUGGGAUGUAAGCAUUGAACAAUGAUGGGGAAUUACUGCUCUGCUGUGUUGUUUGGCUGCCUGGGUGCAAAGAGGAGUAUGGUGAUACCCAGUAUUGGAAUAAACAUUUAUUUUGAUUAAGAUCCAUACAACUUUCGAUGGACAUGUUGGAUAUUUGCCACGGCUGGGUUUUUUGGUUUCUUUUUAAACUGUAUCUGUCCACUGUAUUUCUGCUAGUUUUAUGACAAAAGCCACCUGUGUAAGAUAGGUAGUGAGUGCUUUCAGAGAUCUAAUAAUUUGUGAGCUAUAAACAAAUAAAGAAGCUGUUUCAAGACUUGA